RNAcentral lists this ribosomal RNA (488 nucleotides) under uncultured bacterium. RNAcentral describes it as "bacterial SSU rRNA". It matches the Rfam family "Bacterial small subunit ribosomal RNA", at positions 8 to 507 of the family's 1533-position model. The record is from RNAcentral.
AGAGUUUGAUCCUGGCUCAGAAUCAACGCUGGCGGCGUGCCUCAGACAUGCAAGUCGAACGAUUAAGACUUCCUUCGGGGAAGUGCAUAAAGUGGCGCACGGGUGAGUAACACGUAAGUAAUCUACCCUCGAGUGGGGAAUAACGUUCGGAAACGGACGCUAAUACCGCAUAACGCAGCGGCACCGCAAGGUGACAGUUGUUAAAGGAGCAAUCCGCUUGAGGAGGAGCUUGCGGCAGAUUAGCUAGUUGGUAGGGUAAUGGCUUACCAAGGCUACGAUCUGUAUCCGGUCUAAGAGGACGGUCGGACACACUGACACUGAAUAACGGGUCAGACUCCUACGGGAGGCAGCAGUCGGGAAUUUUGGGCAAUGGGCGAAAGCCUGACCCAGCAACGCCGCGUGAAGGAUGAAGUAUUUCGGUAUGUAAACUUCGAAAGAAUAGGAAGAAUAAAUGACGGUACUAUUUAUAAGCUCCGGCUAACUACGUG